AAAGGGGAGCAAUCCCUGAGUACAGUGGCGUACGGGUGAGUAACACGUGGAUGAUCUACCUUCUAGUGGGGAAUAACCCUGGGAAACCGGGGCUAAUACCGCAUAAGCUCGAGAGAGGAAAGCAGCAAUGCGCUGGAAGAGGAGUCCGCGGCCGAUUAGCUAGUUGGCAGGGUAAGAGCCUACCAAGGCAGAGAUCGGUAGCCGGCCUGAGAGGGCACACGGCCACACUGGCACUGAAACACGGGCCAGACUCCUACGGGAGGCAGCAGUGGGGAAUCUUGCACAAUGGGGGAAACCCUGAUGCAGCGACGCCGCGUGAGCGAUGAAGCCCUUCGGGGUGUAAAGCUCUUUCGUCAGGGAAGAUGAUGACGGUACCUGGAGAAGCAGCUGCGGCUAACUACGUGCCAGCAGCCGCGGUAAUACGUAGGCAGCGAGCGUUGUUCGGAGUUACUGGGCGUAAAGGGUGUGUAGGCGGUUGUUUAAGUUUGGUGUGAAAUCUCCCGGCUCAACUGGGAGGGUGCGCCGAAUACUGAAUGACUUGGAGUGCGGGAGAGGAGAGUGGAAUUCCUGGUGUAGCGGUGAAAUGCGUAGAUAUCAGGAGGAACACCGGUGGUGUAGACGGCUCUCUGGACCGUAACUGACGCUGAGACACGAAAGCGUGGGUAGCAAACAGGAUUAGAUACCCUGGUAGUCCACGCCCUAAACGAUGCAUAUUUGGUGUGGGCAGUUCAUUCUGUCCGUGCCGGAGCUAACGCGUUAAAUAUGCCGCCUGGGGAGUACAGUCGCAAGGCUGAAACUC
Molecule: ribosomal RNA, 799 nt
Filed under: uncultured Bacillota bacterium
Lineage: Bacteria; Bacillati; Bacillota
Description: bacterial SSU rRNA
Rfam family: Bacterial small subunit ribosomal RNA
Source: RNAcentral